This 483-nucleotide small RNA is filed under the name Drosophila pseudoobscura pseudoobscura. Its description in RNAcentral is "GA31130". Lineage: Eukaryota; Metazoa; Arthropoda; Insecta; Diptera; Drosophilidae. The record is from RNAcentral.
CUUCAAGGGUGACUAUGUGAAACCGUUGAGCUUUCAUACUCAAUUAGGCUGCCAGCGAGAAUGAACGGUUUUGAUCAGAAUUUGAUGGGCUGAACUGCUGAUUGCUUCAAAAAAAAGGGAAAAGUCUUCGCAAAAGUACGCUCGGUAUGUGUUGUUCAGAAUGCCUCUUAAUCAAACGUGCUUACUCAAAAAAUUGGUACCCGCAUCGACAGUCUUGAAGAAAAAAAUUUGUUCAUGUCUCCGCUCAAAUUGGCAACGCAAUAUCAUCUCAGACGGUUCGUCGGAGCUACAGCCGGUACAAACAAAUGGUUUUGCACGGAGGCCGAUGAAUAGUGGUUGGGGGUUUGUAGAAUUUCGGUAUUUAUUAUUUUGACCACACGAUCACAAACUUUAUAUUCGAAGUAAAAAAUGCCUUUUUUAAGCAUUUGAGUUAUCUGCUCUUGCUAAGAAAACUAAAAGUAAAUUGAAUUUUUAUACACGAUA